GCGAACCGGAUUAGAUACCCGGGUAGUCCACGCCCUAAAACGAUGCGGGCUAGGGUGUCGGGGGGUAUUCCCUCGGURCCGCAGCUAACGCGUUAAGCCCGCCGCCUGGGCAGUACGGCCGCAAGGCUGAAACUCAAGGGAAUUGACGGGGUCCCACACAAGCGGGUGGAGCAUGUGGUUUAAUUCGAUGCUAAACGAAGAACCUUACCCGGGCUUGACAUGCAGGUGGUACCGACCCGAAAGGGAAGGGACCCCGGGCCGAAAGGCGCCGGGGAGCCUGCACAGGUGCUGCAUGGCUGUCGUCAGCUCGUGCCGUGGGGUGUUGGGUUAAGUCCCGGAACGAGCGCAACCCCUGCCGCCAGUUGCCAGCGGGCCCAAAUGGGCGCCGGGGACUCUGGCGGGACUGCCGGCGAAUAGCCGGAGGAAGGAGGGGAUGACGUCAAGUCCUCAUGGCCCUUAUGCCCGGGGCUACACACAUGCUACAGUGCCCGGUACAAUGGGACGCGAAGGGGCGACCCGGAGCAAAUCCCAUCAAAGCCGGGCAUGGUGCGGAUUGCAGGCUGCAACCCGCCUGCAUGAAGAGGGAAUCGCUAGUAAUCGCGGGUCAGCUACACCGCGGUGAAUACGUACUUGGGGCUUGUACACACCGCCCGUCACGCCAACCGAGUGGGAGGCACCUGAAGUCGUCCGAA
This 692-nucleotide ribosomal RNA is filed under the name uncultured Acetothermia bacterium. RNAcentral's name for it is "bacterial SSU rRNA". It matches the Rfam family "Bacterial small subunit ribosomal RNA", at positions 768 to 1435 of the family's 1533-position model. The record is from RNAcentral. Lineage: Bacteria; Candidatus Bipolaricaulota.